CCCUUUCCUCCAUGGAUUUUUUUUUUUACAUACUAGAUUCGCAUAGAAUUUUUUCAAUAAAAAAAAUCAUCAGGUUUAAAGUAUUGAUGCAUUGUGAAAACAAAUAUUUCAUCAAUGAAAUUCAAUUCAGAUAUUCUCAUGGAUAUCCUUUUCAUAUUGGAUACAAUUUUUUCUAAGUCUCAUCCAGACAUUUUGUAGUCAGAGCAUUUCAACUGAGGUACUACACAGGCGUCAAAAGGCGUCAUUAUGGAGUAAAGGGGGUGGCGUCAAAAGGCGUCAUUAUGGAGGAAAGGGUUAAUGG
This 301-nucleotide long non-coding RNA is filed under the name Mytilus galloprovincialis (Mediterranean mussel). The record is from RNAcentral. Lineage: Eukaryota; Metazoa; Mollusca; Bivalvia; Mytilida; Mytilidae.